RNAcentral lists this unclassified non-coding RNA (253 nucleotides) under uncultured Candidatus Peribacteria bacterium. RNAcentral describes it as "contains 16S-23S intergenic spacer region". It matches the Rfam family "Bacterial small subunit ribosomal RNA", at positions 524 to 776 of the family's 1533-position model. The record is from RNAcentral. Lineage: Bacteria; Candidatus Peregrinibacteriota; Candidatus Peribacteria.
GACGGAAGGUGCAAGCGUUACUCGGAAUCACUGGGCGUAAAGCGUCCGCAGGCGUCCUUAGUAGUCUGGCGUAAAAGCACGAAGCUCAACUCCGUGUACGUGCCGGAAACCAUAGGGAUAGAGUCAUACAGAGGCAUCUGGAAUGCUGUGUGUAGGGGUAAAAUCCGUUGAUCCACAGUAGAACGCCAAAAGCGAAGGCAGGAUGCUGGGUAUGUACUGACGCUCAGGGACGAAAGCGUGGGGAGCGAACGGG